GCCGGGGUGGCAGAGCGGACAAUUUCCGCGGAAACCAUGCCGCGGGAGUUCAAACGCGGCAGGCUCGAGACCUGUUGUCCCUUCCAGGGACGCUUGGGUUCAAAUCCCAACCCCGGCG
Molecule: transfer RNA, 118 nt
Filed under: Methanothrix sp.
Lineage: Archaea; Methanobacteriati; Methanobacteriota; Methanomicrobia; Methanotrichales; Methanotrichaceae
Description: tRNA-Ser
Rfam family: tRNA (bases 39-118)
About the family: Transfer RNA (tRNA) molecules are approximately 80 nucleotides in length. Their secondary structure includes four short double-helical elements and three loops (D, anti-codon, and T loops).
Source: RNAcentral